RNAcentral lists this long non-coding RNA (1774 nucleotides) under Homo sapiens (human). RNAcentral's name for it is "HSALNT0257343". The record is from RNAcentral. Lineage: Eukaryota; Metazoa; Chordata; Mammalia; Primates; Hominidae.
UCGGCCUCCCAAAGUGCUGGGAUCACAGGCGUGAGCCACCGCGCCCAGCCAGAUUUGAUUUUUUAAAUGUUUGUGAAUGUGUAUCACUGUAGUGAAAAAUCAAAUUAUUUAAAUCUACUUUCUAAAUAAUUUUGAUUAAAGUAUUCUGUAUUUUGAGUGCCAGUAUUCAUAUAGUAUGCCAAAUCACCCAUUUGUUUACUAUUUUGCCAUUUUAUAAAAUAAGCCUGAAUUUGUGGAGACAUUUUUAAAGAAACCGAUCUUUUCUACAAAAAGAUUUAGACAUCGAAAAUAGAGAAUUUAGUUUCACAUUAUAUAUAUAGUUUGCUGAACCCUACAGUAAUUUGUAAAGUUUGUUUGUGUAUGCCAAUCUUAGAUUUUCUAAAACAAAAUGAAGGGUUUUUGUUUUAUGUUACAUUUAAUAUACAAAGUCCAAAAUAUGCUCAGACAGACAACUUCAUCAGACUCCUUCAUCAACUCCGUUUCCAUCGUGGCGUGAACGGUUUCUCACUGCUUUAGCAUCUGCCUUUGAUUUCUACUAAUUUUCUUUGACUUUGAUUUUUCUUGUCCAUCUCUGGUGGUUGCUUUGCUGCUCCACUUUGAGGAGUUCGGGCAGCUUCACCCUCAGCCGCUCCAACAGUCCGUCCAUUUGGCUCAAGCUCUAGGCAGUUUCUCCUGGUUCUUCUGUUCCUGGCGUCUGAGAUUUGUCAGCAGGGCCAGAUUUUCAGGAACCAUGCAUGGCUAUCGCCUCCUCCCGCCUGGAGGGCUGCUCCUGCGCCUCUGACCGGCGCUGGUUCCAGCCGCGGCCCAGCUGAGCACAGCAGGAACCGCAGUAGCAGCCGGAGCGCCCACGCCCGGGGUCGCCUAGCCCAGGAACGCCUUAGUUGCAACCCUGCGUCGAGGCCCAGCUCCGUGCGCAGAAAGCCGAGGCCAACCAGAGCAUUUCCUGGACGAGUCCUCUCGGCCUGCGGGGCCAGUUCCUCCUACCAGCUUCCUGCUGCCACCUCGGCUUCCAUCAGAGGGACGCUUAGGAUGGCGCAGGGGCCCGGAGACACUGUGAAGAGUCCAGGGGAAUGAGGAGGGGCUGGGCCGGGCAGCCUCAGGCCCAGCGCAGGUUAGCGCUUCUCACGCCUGAGCAGAGAUCAGCUACUGCCACUGCGGGGAGGACAGAAGGACCCAGGCUCCCCAGCCUCCCUCUGCACCGGGAGUGUAGGAAACUAUUUAAAAAUAAUAAUAAUAAUAAUAAUAAUAAGUAUGGAAUAGAACUUGCAGAUCUAACCCAACCAAGUUUUCAUUCUUUUUCCUUUUCCUUUUCUUUUUUUUAAUGUAUUUUUCUCUUAUAUUAUGCUCGCCUGACGGAAGAUUUUAUGUUCCAUCCUCACAUGGAAAUUUAAAUGUAAUCAUAAUGGUCACAAAUUUAGAAACAGUAUUUACUUUAUUUUGCCUAAGAAUGCUGGGGUAACAUUAAUUUUUCAAUGGUGCCUUCUGAAUCUUAACGUUGAUUACCUUUUAUUUGAGUCUAUUAACUAAACUGUAGUAAGUAAUAAUAAUAAAUUCUUGAUUUGCAUAGGGCUUAACAGUUUACAAAGGGCAUGUAUUCAUUCGUUUAACCGAUAAAUGUGCGUUGAGCUACACGUUGUGCUAUAUUUUUUGCUAGCCUUGGGAGAUAAAAUUAAUAAAAGAAAGUAUUGGCCGGCUUCUUUUGUUCAACAUUGUGAGAUUAAUCUCUGUUGCUGUCUGUGGUUUGCAUAUUUAUUGAUCUACCAUGUGACAUCAU